This 253-nucleotide ribosomal RNA is filed under the name uncultured bacterium. Its description in RNAcentral is "partial 16S ribosomal RNA". It matches the Rfam family "Bacterial small subunit ribosomal RNA", at positions 524 to 776 of the family's 1533-position model. The record is from RNAcentral.
UACGAAGGGGGCUAGCGUUGUUCGGAAUUACUGGGCGUAAAGCGUGCGCAGGCGGUUGGGUAAGACAGAUGUGAAAUCCCCGGGCUCAACCUGGGAACUGCAUUUGUGACUGCACAGCUGGAGUGCGGCAGAGGGGGAUGGAAUUCCGCGUGUAGCAGUGAAAUGCGUAGAUAUGCGGAGGAACACCGAUGGCGAAGGCAAUCCCCUGGGCCUGCACUGACGCUCAUGCACGAAAGCGUGGGGAGCAAACAGG